This 111-nucleotide ribosomal RNA is filed under the name uncultured eukaryote. RNAcentral describes it as "partial small subunit ribosomal RNA". The record is from RNAcentral.
UCGCUACUACCGAUUGAAUGGCUUAGUGAGCUUUCUGGACUGUUGCAUUCUGUUGGAAACUUCGGUUUGCAUACGGGAAGGAAAUCAAACUUGAUCAUUUAGAGGAAGUAA